Molecule: ribosomal RNA, 521 nt
Filed under: uncultured bacterium
Lineage: Bacteria
Description: bacterial SSU rRNA
Rfam family: Bacterial small subunit ribosomal RNA
Source: RNAcentral
AGAGUUUGAUUAUGGCUCAGGAUGAACGCUGGCGGCAGGCUUAAUACAUGCAAGUCGAACGGUAAGGCCGAGUGUAGCAAUACACGAGGUACACGAGUGGCGCACGGGUGCGUAACGCGUAUGCAACCUGCCCCUGACCGGGACAAAACAGCUGGAAACGGCUGCUAAUAUCCCAUGGUUACCGAGGAGGGCAUCCUCCUUUGUAUAAAGAUUCAUUGGUCGGGGAUGGGCAUGCGUAUUAUUAGGUAGUUGGUGGGGUAACGGCCCACCAAGCCGACGAUGAUUAGGGGUUCUGAGAGGAUUAACCCCCACACUGGAACUGAGACACGGUCCAGACUCCUACGGGAGGCAGCAGUAGGGAAUAUUGGGCAAUGGAGGCAACUCUGACCCAGCCAUGCCGCGUGAAGGAAGACGGCCCUAUGGGUUGUAAACUUCUUUUAUCGUGGAGUAAACCCGGUCACGUGUGGCCGGUUGAGAGUACACGAGGAAUAAGUAUCGGCUAACUCCGUGCCAGCAGCUGC